AGGAGUGUAGCUCAAUCGGUAGAGCACUGGUCUCCAAAACCAGAGGUUGUAGGUUCAAUUCCUAUUGCUCCUG
RNAcentral lists this transfer RNA (73 nucleotides) under Wolbachia endosymbiont of Menacanthus eurysternus. RNAcentral describes it as "tRNA-Trp". It matches the Rfam family "tRNA". From Rfam's summary of the family: Transfer RNA (tRNA) molecules are approximately 80 nucleotides in length. The record is from RNAcentral. Lineage: Bacteria; Pseudomonadati; Pseudomonadota; Alphaproteobacteria; Rickettsiales; Anaplasmataceae.